RNAcentral lists this ribosomal RNA (440 nucleotides) under uncultured bacterium. Its description in RNAcentral is "partial 16S ribosomal RNA". It matches the Rfam family "Bacterial small subunit ribosomal RNA", at positions 338 to 795 of the family's 1533-position model. The record is from RNAcentral.
CCUACGGGUGGCUGCAGUCGAGAAUCAUUCACAAUGGUGGAAACCCUGAUGCAGCGACGCCGCGUGAGCGAUGAAGUAUUUCGGUAUGUAAAGCUCUAUCAGCAGGGAAGAAAAUGACGGUACCUGACUAAGAAGCCACGGCUAACUACGUGCCAGCAGCCGCGGUAAUACGUAGGGGGCAAGCGUUAUCCGGAUUUACUGGGUGUAAAGGGAGCGUAGACGGCUUGGCAAGCCAGAUGGGAAAGUCUGGGGCUCAACCUCAGGACUGCAUUUAGAACUGUCAUGCUAGAGUGUCGGAGAGGCAGGUGGAAUGCCUAGUGUAGCGGUGAAAUGCGUAGAUAUUAGGAGGAACACCAGUGGCGAAGGCGGCCUGCUGGACGAUGACUGACGUUGAGGCUCGAAAGCGUGGGGAGCAAACAGGAUUAGAUACCCUUGUAGUC